GACGAACGCUGGCGGCGUGCUUAACACAUGCAAGUCGAACGGAAAGGCCCUGCUUUUGUGGGGUGCUCGAGUGGCGAACGGGUGAGUAACACGUGAGUAACCUGCCCUUGACUUUGGGAUAACUUCAGGAAACUGGGGCUAAUACCGGAUAGGAGCUCCUGCUGCAUGGUGGGGGUUGGAAAGUUUCGGCGGUUGGGGAUGGACUCGCGGCUUAUCAGCUUGUUGGUGGGGUAGUGGCUUACCAAGGCUUUGACGGGUAGCCGGCCUGAGAGGGUGACCGGCCACAUGGGAAUGGGGUAACGGCCCAAACUCUAACGGAGGGAAACAGGGGGAAAUAUGGAACAAGGGGGGGAGGCUGAAGGCGGCAAGGCCGGUGGCGGGAGGACGGCCUUCGGUUGUAAAACGGUUUUGGCUGGGAACGAAGCGGAGUGGAGGUUAAGGGUUAAGGAAGCACGGAUAAACUACUG
This 467-nucleotide ribosomal RNA is filed under the name uncultured bacterium. RNAcentral describes it as "partial 16S ribosomal RNA". It matches the Rfam family "Bacterial small subunit ribosomal RNA", at positions 28 to 506 of the family's 1533-position model. The record is from RNAcentral.